This 253-nucleotide ribosomal RNA is filed under the name uncultured bacterium. Its description in RNAcentral is "partial 16S ribosomal RNA". It matches the Rfam family "Bacterial small subunit ribosomal RNA", at positions 524 to 776 of the family's 1533-position model. The record is from RNAcentral.
UACAGAGGUCUCAAGCGUUGUUCGGAUUCAUUGGGCGUAAAGGGUGCGUAGGUGGCGGGGCAAGUCAGGUGUGAAAUCUCGGAGCUCAACUCCGAAACUGCACUUGAUACUGCCUUGCUCGAGUACUGGAGAGGAGAUUGGAAUUUACGGUGUAGCAGUGAAAUGCGUAGAUAUCGUAAGGAAGACCAGUGGCGAAGGCGAAUCUCUGGACAGUUACUGACACUGAGGCACGAAGGCCAGGGGAGCAAACAGG